This 62-nucleotide transfer RNA is filed under the name Leucophytia bidentata (two-toothed white snail). RNAcentral's name for it is "Auriculinella bidentata (two-toothed white snail) tRNA-Leu". The record is from RNAcentral. Lineage: Eukaryota; Metazoa; Mollusca; Gastropoda; Ellobiida; Ellobiidae.
CCCGAAAUGGCAGAUUAAUGCCUAGACUUUAAGCGUCUAUUAUGGGUUAAACCCUUUUGGUA